RNAcentral lists this transfer RNA (72 nucleotides) under Camelus bactrianus (Bactrian camel). It matches the Rfam family "tRNA". From Rfam's summary of the family: Transfer RNA (tRNA) molecules are approximately 80 nucleotides in length. The record is from Rfam by way of RNAcentral. Lineage: Eukaryota; Metazoa; Chordata; Mammalia; Artiodactyla; Camelidae. RNAcentral also lists the same sequence under 2 other names.
GAGGGUAUAGCUUAGUGGUAGAGUGUGUGCUUAGCAUGCACGAGGCCCUGGGUUCAAUCCCCAGUACCUCCA